CAAAAACAUAGCUAAAUGUAAAUAUAUUUAGUGUUUUCUGCUCAAUGAAGUAUUAAAUAGCCGCAGUACAUUGACUGUGCAAAGGUAGCGUAAUCAUUUGUCUUCUAAUUAGAGACGUGUAUGAAUGAAUAUAUGGGGACCCGCUUUACUCGAUGUAAUAAAUGAAUUUACUUAGUGUGUGCAAAUACACACAUUUAAAUAAUAGACGAGAAGACCCUAGAAAUUUUAACUAUAGGUUUUUGUUGGGGCAACAUAGUAACAAAUAAUUUACUUUAUGUAUAUGAAAUUGAUUAGGUAAACUAAAUUACUCUAGGGAUAACAGCAUAAUAAAUUAUUGGUUGUGACCUCGAUGUUGGAUUAGGAAGCUAUAGCUUAAAAGGUAUUUGGUUAUGCUCUGUUCGA
RNAcentral lists this ribosomal RNA (402 nucleotides) under Camaenidae sp. BL7. Its description in RNAcentral is "partial 16S ribosomal RNA". It matches the Rfam family "Archaeal large subunit ribosomal RNA", at positions 1900 to 2653 of the family's 2987-position model. The record is from RNAcentral. Lineage: Eukaryota; Metazoa; Mollusca; Gastropoda; Stylommatophora; Camaenidae.